UUUAUUGGAGAGUUUGAUCCUGGCUCAGGAUGAACGCUGGCGGCGUGCCUAAUACAUGCAAGUCGAGCGAAUUGAUUGAGAGCUUGCUCUCGAGAAGUUAGCGGCGGACGGGU
RNAcentral lists this ribosomal RNA (113 nucleotides) under Bacillus sp. BPN334. Its description in RNAcentral is "partial 16S ribosomal RNA". It matches the Rfam family "Bacterial small subunit ribosomal RNA", at positions 1 to 107 of the family's 1533-position model. The record is from RNAcentral. Lineage: Bacteria; Bacillati; Bacillota; Bacilli; Caryophanales; Bacillaceae.